Schistosoma margrebowiei is the source of this 48-nucleotide non-coding RNA. NCBI's taxonomy places the organism in Eukaryota, Metazoa, Platyhelminthes, Trematoda, Strigeidida, Schistosomatidae. The record is from Rfam.
AUCCAGCUGACGAGUCCAAAAUAGGACGAAACGCAUGUCAAGCUGGAU